This 368-nucleotide ribosomal RNA is filed under the name uncultured bacterium. Its description in RNAcentral is "partial 16S ribosomal RNA". It matches the Rfam family "Bacterial small subunit ribosomal RNA", at positions 338 to 723 of the family's 1533-position model. The record is from RNAcentral.
CCUACGGGGGGCAGCAGUGGGGAAUAUUGCUCAAUGGGGGAAACCCUGAAGCAGCAACGCCGCGUGGAGGAUGAAGGUUUUCGGAUUGUAAACUUCUUUUGUUAGAGAAGAAAAUGACGGUAUCUAACUAAGAAGCACCGGCUAACUCCGUGCCAGCAGCCGCGGUAAUACGUAGGGUGCAAGCGUUACUCGGAUUCACUGGGCGUAAAGAGCGCGUAGGCGGGAUAGCAAGUCAGAUGUGAAAUCCUAUGGCUUAACCAUGGAACUGCCUUUGAAACUGUUGUACUAGAGUAUGGGAGAGGUAGGAGGAAUUCUUGGUGGAGGGGGAAAAUCCGUAGAGAUCAAGAGGAAUACUCAUUGCGAAGGCG